AUCAACUUUCGAUGGUAGGAUAGAGGCCUACCAUGGUGGUAACGGGUAACGGGGUGUUAGGGCACGACACCGGAGAGGGAGCCUGAGAAACGGCUACCACAUCCAAGGAUGGCAGCAGGCGCGCAAAUUACCCAAUCCCGACACGGGGAGGUAGUGACAAUAAAUAACAAUACGGGGUUCUUUCGGAUUUCGUAAUUGGAAUGAGUACAAUUUAAAUCUCUUAACGAGGAACAAUUGGAGGGCAAGUCUGGUGCCAGCAGCCGCGGUAAUUCCAGCUCCAAUAGCGUAUAUUAAAGUUGCUGCAGUUAAAAAGCUCGUAGUUGAAUUUCGGGACCAAUAUGUCGGUCGUGCCUCGGUACGUACUGGCAUCGUUGGUUUCUCCCUUCUGACGAACCAUGAUGUCAUUUAUUUGGUGUCGUGGGGAAUCAGGACUGUUACUUUGAAAAAAUUAGAGUGUUUAAAGCAGGCUCACGCUUGAAUAUAUUAGCAUGGAAUAAUGAAAUAGGACGUUUGAUUCUAUUUUGUUGGUUUCUAGGAUCGACGUAAUGAUUAAUAGGGAUAGUUGGGGGCAUUAGUAUUCAAUUGUCAGAGGUGAAAUUCUUGGAUUUAUUGAAGACUAACUACUGCGAAAGCAUUUGCCAAGGAUGUUUUCAUUAAUCAAGAACGAAAGUUAGGGGAUCGAAGACGAUCAGAUACCGUCGUAGUCUUAACCAUAAACUAUGCCGACUAGGGAUCGGAUGAUGUUAAUUUUUUAAUGACUCAUUCGGCGCCUUACGGGAAACCAAAGUGUUUGGGUUC
This 798-nucleotide ribosomal RNA is filed under the name uncultured Glomus. RNAcentral's name for it is "SSU rRNA". It matches the Rfam family "Eukaryotic small subunit ribosomal RNA", at positions 314 to 1114 of the family's 1831-position model. Lineage: Eukaryota; Fungi; Glomeromycota; Glomeromycetes; Glomerales; Glomeraceae. The record is from RNAcentral.